Molecule: long non-coding RNA, 2005 nt
Organism: Hippocampus comes (tiger tail seahorse)
Lineage: Eukaryota; Metazoa; Chordata; Actinopteri; Syngnathiformes; Syngnathidae
Exons: 2
Source: RefSeq, a predicted model, not a curated record
CUUCCCAGGAACUCAUCCCUCACGGCCAAACUACGGGGCAUGGAACAGGAAGUUGGAGGAUCAGCCGCUUGGGUUUCCUCCAAAGAAAAGCACUGCUUGGCACCUACUCCUCCAAAACCAUUGGUAACUACUCCCAACAGAAUCCAGUGGACUGGCUGAACUUCAAAGGUUGUGCAGGUUUGAAAUUGAUAAGUCCUUUUUUGGGGGUGGGGGGUGGGGGGUUAGCACACUUUGAGAAACACUGGCCUAGAUAGCCACGAGAUCCCUGAAGCCACCCCGUGAGUAGCCUGAACUAUCUACACACAAGCCCAGUCGGACAAUUAAAACACAAACAUUAGCAUACGGCUGCCUUCCACUCGCAAGCAGACUGAGGUCACAUUAUUAUUAUUAUUAUUUUUUUUCGCUGUGAUUUGGAGUUUUCAUCGCAUAUUGUUUUUGAUCAGCCAACCCUGCAACCCAGUUUGGCACCAAAAUGGCUGCUGAUGUUGGACCGCGUCCAACACGGAGCCGAGAAGGAAGAUGAGGCAUAUUCCACCCUCCAGUUUUGUAAAAAUAUAAACAAUAUUGUUCUCGGAGAAGGGACUGUUUAAUAUUCUUUAAAAAAAAAAAAAAUCUAUAGGAUUCACACAGGAGGAUUAUUUUCCUGCUACCACCAAAGUGUAGAAGUGAGGGGGUGGGAAUGAGGGAGAGCAUGAAUCCAUCUGUUCAUUACAAAAACAAAAAAAGACAAACACAGUCAAGAGGAUGCGACCAAUGACAUAUUGAAUAUGUGAGGUUGUAAUUACAUGGCUUCAUUUAGUCAUGGAAAGAAAACAGCGCGCUGCAUUCCUCCACACAAUGCAACGGCGAGGAGGCCGCACUCACGAUAUAAUUACACACAUCCAUUCUCACUAAGUGUCAAUUUAACAAUAGCUUUUUUUUUCUUCUUCUUCUUCUUCUUCUUUUUGGUCAAAUAUAUUCAAAAAUCUCUUCACAGAGGUGGGGAACCAAUCGCCCGUGAUCACCUUUGACCCAGGCUGUGAAAUUCUCAAACCAAAUGAAACCCAUCAGAGGGAUUGCUAUCAAAAAAGCUCCAUUUCGUCCACACAUGCUCAGAGUAUAUAAAACAAAUAUUAAAUCCAUUGUUAAAUGCGAUUUUUGGUUGUCAAUUUACAGAAAAAAAAAAAAGGUUCCCCACCCCCGCUGCAUUAUUCACUGGCUAAUGCUCUUAACAUCAAUAGUACAUUGAACAUAAAUAGUUUCUCUAUCUACUCACAUCAUAGACGAUAUUGCUUUGUGCGUACUGCAUGGGAAUAGCUGCUACAUGACAUUUCUUCAUGGAACUCUCGCCAACGACCCCGAUGGUGACUUCAGUGAUUUAAAUUGAGCCCCCCUAGCCCCUUUUUUUAAAAAUUUUAAUGUAUAGUUAAUCUUCAAUUCUCUGGGUUCCUGUUCAUUUAUCCAUGCAGAUGAGUUGAGAAAAGACCCCGUGAGGCCCAAAUAAUUGGAAAGUCAGUGGACACUCGCCAGGAAGCUCGGCAGUGAAAACUGGUUGUUCCAGCAGAGAGUGACGCUUCUCCUACAACGUGCUCUCUGUUUAGAGCGCGAACACUCCUUUCAGCCUCUGCGCUUGUCCACAAUCCACGUUUCAUCCCGACUUCUCUAUCCACUCGCCUGCCCUUGAUGACGCCAUGUAGAAAAGUCUCGCUCCAGCACAAUGGACUCUGUCAUUUAACAAGCGUUGCUGAUUGCUCCAAAAAAAUAAUAAAAUAUCCGCCAGCCCAACUCGAUGGUUCUUGGGAACAUCGAUAAUUCGAUCGUCAAUAAAGUUCGAGGAAUCAAAUGACAAGUAGUCUUGCCACACGAAUGUGGUUAUUCAGCCCAAAAUGCACGUUAAGCGUCAUGAAAUAAUGUCAUCUCGCUUGACAGCUCGUGACCUUUUGGCAACCGACGUCGGAUUCUGGCGUUAGUUUUCCUUUCUGAGUAGACCGUGUUGAUUUAAUUGUUUCGUUACAUAAAUCGUAAA